GAUGAAGAACGUAGCGAAAUGCGAUAAGUAAUGUGAAUUGCAGAAUUCAGUGAAUCAUCGAAUCUUUGAACGCACAUUGCGCCCAUUAGUAUUCUAGUGGGCAUGCCUGUUCGAGCGUCAUUAAUUCCACUUAAGCCCUGCUUAGUGUUGGGAAUCUACUCUAGUGGUGCUACCCUGGAGCUACCCCUGAAAGGGGGCUGGCCCGGUAGCUACCCUGUAGUUCCUCAAAGAUAGUGCGCGGAGUUGCGUGGUCCUCUGAGCUUAGUAACUAUACACCUAGCUUUUGAGUGUCCCGAGGCGCCUGCCGUUUAACCCCCAUCUUUUAAUGGUUGACCUCGGAUCAGGUAGGAAUACCCGCUGAACUUAAGCAUAUCAAUAAGCGGAGGA
RNAcentral lists this unclassified non-coding RNA (387 nucleotides) under soil metagenome. RNAcentral describes it as "partial contains 5.8S ribosomal RNA, internal transcribed spacer 2, and large subunit ribosomal RNA". The stretch from base 1 to 120 matches the Rfam family "5.8S ribosomal RNA", at positions 35 to 154 of the family's 154-position model. The record is from RNAcentral.